This 253-nucleotide ribosomal RNA is filed under the name uncultured bacterium. Its description in RNAcentral is "partial 16S ribosomal RNA". It matches the Rfam family "Archaeal small subunit ribosomal RNA", at positions 474 to 727 of the family's 1478-position model. The record is from RNAcentral.
UACCAGCACCCCGAGUGGUCGGGACGUUUAUUGGGCCUAGAGCAUCCGUAGCCGGUUCUACAAGUCUUCCGUUAAAUCCAGCUGCUUAACAGAUGGGCUGCGGAAGAUACUAUGGAGCUAGGAGGCGGGAGAGGCAAGCGGUACUCGAUGGGUAGGGGUAAAAUCCGUUGAUCCAUUGAAGACCACCAGUGGCGAAGGCGGCUUGCCAGAACGCGCUCGACGGUGAGGGAUGAAAGCUGGGGGAGCAAACCGG